This 1421-nucleotide long non-coding RNA is filed under the name Papio anubis (olive baboon). Its description in RNAcentral is "lncRNA (ENSPANG00000050634.1)". Lineage: Eukaryota; Metazoa; Chordata; Mammalia; Primates; Cercopithecidae. The record is from RNAcentral.
CCUGGAACUACUGGAAAGGGAUCCCCUGUCACUAGGCAGCACACACAGCCAGGAAGUCACGGUGCAGGGGUUAGAUUACAGCCUCAGGCGGUACUGGAAAGGGAUCCCCUGUCACUAGGCAGCACACACAGCCAGGAAGUCACGGUGCAGGGGUUAGAUUACAGCCUCAGGCGGUACUGGAAAGGGAUCCCCUGUCACUAGGUAGCACACACAGGCAGGAAGUCACGGUGCAGGGGUUAGAUUACAGCCUCAGGCGGUCUGUCCAGGCCAUAUGUUCAUGGGGUCAAAAUACCGGGCUGUGGUACGGCUCAGACGGCAGGUCUAGACCAGGAUCCUGCAAUGAGCAUUGUGCCGUGAUUCAGCAACACGGAUUCCAGGGGCGGAAAGGCACCUGCUGAUGUGAACCAAGGUCCCCUCACUGAGUCCUUCCUGCUCCCCAUCUGAACUUCAGACGGGCCCUGCCCCCAGCUGCUGAGGUUUGUACUUCCUACCUCUGCGUUAAGCAUGCAGUUCUUGCACCUGCCACUAACCUAAUACAUACUUUGCCCAUAGGACGUGUUUAUUGACUGCACGCAAGCUCCAUGAAGAGAGAAUUUUGCAUCUGCUUUGUUCAUGGUUUUGUCACUGUCAUCAUCAGCUGUAUAAUGGAUGCUGGCACAAAGUAGGUGCUCAGUAUGUCUUCACUGAAGAGUAGGUGCUCAGUACAUCCUCACGGAAGAGUAGGUGCUCAGUGUGUCUUCACCGAAGAGUAGGUGCUCAGUAUGUCUUCACUGAAUAGCAGGUGCUCAGUGUGUCCUCACAGAAGAGCAGGUGCUCAGUGUGUCCUCACUGAAGAGUAGGUGCUCGGUAUGUCCUCACUGAACAGUAGGUGCUCGGUAUGUCCUCACUGAACAGUAGGUGCUCAGUGUGUCCUCACUGAAGAGUAGGUGCUCGGUAUGUCCUCACUGAACAGUGACAGGUGCUCGGUAUGUCCUCUUAGGGAGGCACAACUAUGCCCCUCGCUGGAAGAAUUAGGGGAGGGCAGGUAAGAUAAAUGCACUCCUCUUCUGAGAGUGCUCAUCUGCCAAUGGGAGAGAUGCUGUUUAGUUUACCAUAUUUCUUUUCAGCUCUCUCCACCCCGAGUUAAAUAAGCUGGUCCUCAUAACCACCAUCCAAGGUUCCAAGUUUCAACUGCCCCACCUCAGGUGUGAUGUCUGUGGAAUAUUGAACCUGAAACGAUAAGCCUCCAAGCCUAAACUUGAAAAAUGAUGAUGGCUAUCACAGGAAAUUACAUUCUCAAUGGAACAUGAUACAGAGGAAAUUAAGUCUGUUUUGCUGCCUUGACACAUAGACACCACCAAUGUCUCCCUUAGCAAAUGUGCACUUCUAGGCUCUAAGCUUUCUGAGGGCAGCACGUCUACACCACUGUGGCUUCAGCGCCU